GAUUAAGCUACUAAGAGCGUACGGUGGAUGCCAUGGCGUCAAGAGCCGAUGAAGGGCGUGGUUGACUGCGAUAAGCCCCGGGGAGCCGUCAGCAGGCUUUGAUCCGGGGAUUCCCGAAUGGGGUAACCCACCCAGGCAAUACCUGGGUACCGCUGGCUGAAUUCAUAGGCCAGUUGGAGGGUACGGAGGGAACUGAAACAUCUCAGUACCUCCAGGAAAAGAGAUCAUUCCCCUAGUAGUGGCGAGCGAACGGGGAAAAGCCCAAACCCAUCAUGUGUUCAAGGCUGCAGCCGUUGCAUGAUGGGGGUUGCAAGGCGUGGCAGGACUUCUGCAGGAGUCCAAGGAAGUUACCAAUCUAGUCUCUAGCCGAAAGACUCUGGAAAGGUCUGUCAUAGAGGGUGAUAACCCCGUAGGCGAAAGGGAUCUAGACUUCCGCCACUGACCUUGAGUACCGCGGGGCACGCUAAUCCUGCGGGAAGCAGGGGAGCCCACUCUCCAAGGCUAAACACUCUUGACGACCGAUAGUGAACCAGUACCGUGAGGGAAAGGUGAAAAGAACCGGGGUGACCGGAGUGAAAUAGAACCUGAAACCGUAUGCUUACAACCAGUGGGAGGGCGUUGCCCUGCCUACGGGCAGGGUUGGCCUGACCGCGUGCCUUUUGGAGAAUGACCCGGCGAGUCAAUCUUUGUGGCAAGGUUAAGGGGGUAACACCCGGAGCCGCAGCGAAAGCGAGUCCGAAUAGGGCGUAUAGUCGCAAGGAUUGGACCCGAAACCAGGUGAGCUACCCAUGGCCAGGGUGAAGCGAAGGUAACACUUCGUGGAGGCCCGAACUCUUCACUGUUGCAAAAGUGAGGGAUGAGCUGUGGGUAGAGGUGAAAUGCCAAACGAACCUGGAGAUAGCUGGUUCUCCCCGAAAUAGCUUUAGGGCUAGCCUCAAGGGUUCAGUAGCGGAGGUAGAGCACUGGAUUGGCUAGGGGGCGUAGAGCUUACCAAACCAAACCAAACUCCGAAUGCCGCUACUCCAUACCUUGGGAGUCGGACAGCGAGAGAUGAAUUCCGUUGUCGAGAGGAAAACAACCCAGACCACCGGCUAAGGUCCCCAAGUCUAGGCUAAGUGGGAAAGGAUGUGAGAUUGCCCGGACAGCCAGGAGGUUGGCUUAGAAGCAGCCAUCCUUUAAAGAGUGCGUAAUAGCUCACUGGUCGAGUGAUCUCGCGCCGACAAUAUACGGGGCUCAAGCCUAGCGCCGAAGCCGUGGACCCCGAUCCACAGGAUCGGGGUGGUAGGGGAGCGUUCUGCUCGCUGCGAAGCCAGACCGUGAGGACUGGUGGAGCGUGCAGAAGUGCGAAUGCCGGGAUGAGUAGCGCAAAACACGUGAGAAUCGUGUUCGCCGUAAACCUAAGGUUUCCUACGGAAGGUUCGUCCGCGUAGGGUUAGUCGGGCCUAAGCCGAGGGCUAGAGCCGUAGGCGAUGGACAACGGGUCAACAUUCCCGUACCACCUGAGGGGAGCUAUGGGGAGACGCAGGAUGGUAGGCCAGCCCGUUAUUGGAUUCGGGUGCUAAGCCUGUAGGGAGAUGAGGGCAGUAGGCAAAUCCGCAGCCUGAUCCUGAGGGGUGAUGGCGGUGCCUUAGUGCCACAAGUGGCUAAGCCAAACUGCCGAGAAAAUCCUCUGUGCGUUGAACCUCGGGUGCCCGUACCGCAAACCGACACUGGUAGGUGGGUAGAGUAUACCAAGGCGAUCGGGAGAACCCUCGUUAAGGAACUAAGCAAAAUGACUCCGUAACUUCGGGAGAAGGAGUGCCCCGUUAGGGUGAGCGCUAAGCAAAGCCCGAGGGGGUCGCAGAGAAACGGCCCUGCCGACUGUUUAACAAAAACACAGGUCUCUGCUAAAGCGAAAGCUGAAGUAUAGGGGCUGACGCCUGCCCAGUGCCGGAAGGUUAAAGGGAUGGGUUAUCCUUCGCGCAAGCGAGGGAGAAGCUCAGAACUGAAGCCCCGGUGAACGGCGGCCGUAACUAUAACGGUCCUAAGGUAGCGAAAUUCCUUGUCGGGUAAGUUCCGACCCGCACGAAUGGCGUAACGAGUGGGGCGCUGUCUCAACGAGGGACCCGGCGAAAUUGAAGUAGGCGUGAAGAUGCGUCUUACCCGCAGCAGGACAAAAAGACCCCGUGGAGCUUUACUGCAGCUUGGUAUUGAGUUGAGGCUUGGUCUGUGUAGGAUAGGUGGGAGACGGUGAAGCUGGGGCGCCAGCCUCGGUGGAGUCAACCUUGAAAUACCACCCUGAUCAAGUUUCGGCCCUAACCCGCAGCCGUUAUCCGGCGUGGGGACAGUGCCAGGUGGGCAGUUUGACUGGGGCGGUCACCUCCUAAAAGGUAACGGAGGCGCUCAAAGGUUCCCUCAGGCUGAAUGGAAACCAGCCGUGGAGUGUAAAGGCACAAGGGAGCUUGACUGCGAGACCUACAAGUCGAGCAGAGACGAAAGUCGGACUUAGUGAUCCUACGGUUCCGUGUGGAAGGGCCGUAGCUUACCGGACAAAAGCUACCCCGGGGAUAACAGGGUAGUCUUGCCCAAGAGUUCACAUCGACGGCAAGGGUCGCCACCUCGAUGUCGGCUCGUCACAUCCUGGGGCUGGACAAGGUCCCAAGGGUUCGGCUGUUCGCCGAUUAAAGUGGCACGCGAGCUGGGUUCAGAACGUCGUGAGACAGUUCGGUCUCUAUCCGCUGUGGGCGCAGGUGACUUGAGGGGAGCUGCCCUCAGUACGAGAGGACCAGGGUGGACGGGCCUCUAGUGUGCCAGUUGUACCGCCAGGUGCAUCGCUGGGUAGCUACGCCCGGCAGAGAUAACCGCUGAAAGCAUCUAAGUGGGAAACUCGCCCCAAGAUUAGGUCACCCACUCCGUCAAGGAGGUAAGACCCCUGGGAGACUACCAGGUUGAUAGGCGGCAUGUGUAAGGGCAGCAAUGCCUUUAGCUAAGCCGUACUAAUGGUCGAGGGCUUAAUCUCA
This 2999-nucleotide ribosomal RNA is filed under the name Chloroflexota bacterium. RNAcentral's name for it is "Chloroflexi bacterium (oil production facility metagenome) 23S ribosomal RNA". It matches the Rfam family "Bacterial large subunit ribosomal RNA". Lineage: Bacteria; Bacillati; Chloroflexota. The record is from RNAcentral.